This 253-nucleotide ribosomal RNA is filed under the name uncultured bacterium. RNAcentral's name for it is "partial 16S ribosomal RNA". It matches the Rfam family "Bacterial small subunit ribosomal RNA", at positions 524 to 776 of the family's 1533-position model. The record is from RNAcentral.
UACGGGGGGUGCAAGCGUUAUUCGGAAUUAUUGGGCGUAAAGCGAGUGCAGGCGGCUUAUUAAGUCAGAUGUGAAAGCCCGGGGCUCAACCCCGGAAGUGCAUUUGAAACUGGUAAGCUUGAGUAUGGGAGAGGAAAGUGGAAUUCCUGGUGUAGAGGUGAAAUUCGUAGAUAUCAGGAGGAACACCAGUGGCGAAGGCGACUUUCUGGACCAAUACUGACGCUCAGACUCGAAGGCGUGGGUAGCGAACAGG